Molecule: long non-coding RNA, 784 nt
Organism: Neogale vison (American mink)
Lineage: Eukaryota; Metazoa; Chordata; Mammalia; Carnivora; Mustelidae
Exons: 5
Source: RefSeq, a predicted model, not a curated record
CUUAGCUCUGACAAGGAACGUUUUGAAUGAGCACCUGGCAUGGAAACUGGCACAAAAUGAACCUUUGCAAUUGUUUGGCACUGUGUGGAUUCUGAAGAUGUGGGGAGGAAGAAAACAAAGUACCCAUCCUCCUGAUCCCUGCCUCCUAGUGGAAGAAGACUGAGAAAGGAGAAAUAACCAGAUAAAUGGUAUGGCAGAUGGUGAUAAGCACUAAGAAGCUCUGCCUCGAGUCUACUGUUCCCCCUCUGCCCAGUAAUUACCAUCUGAUCAUCUAAGGGAUUUCAGAACCCAACUGCUCAAGCCCAUGAAGACUCCUUGAUCUAAGAGAAGUAAGUGACCAAGUUCUGAAGAGCCCUGUGAAGAAGGCCACAGAGCAGGGGACUGAUGUCUCCAGCCAGAAGCCAUCUCGAUCAUGCUAACAACCAUGUGAGUGAGCUUGGAAGUGGAUUCUCCCUAAGUCAGUUCUCAAAAUGCCUAGAGCUCUAGCCAGCACUAUGAUUGCAGCACCGUGAGAAACCCGGAGCUAGAAGGCCCAGCUAAGCUGCAUCCAAAUCUGUGAAUACAUUUUUGUUGUUCUUAAGCCUCUAUAUUUUGGGACAAGUUAUAACAUAGCAAUAGAUAACAGAUAUGACUAGCAAAGCAGUGAGAAUGAAGAGAACAUUCAGGAAUCUGACAUUCAGGGAUGUAUAAUCUUGGAUUAAUUUGCUUUGAAGCCAUGUUGGGGGGAAAAGAUCCCAUCUUCAGUAUUCUUUACCGUUGCCUCCCCUCACACAUACUUUCCAUU